UGUGACAUACCAUUUUGUUGCCUCGGCGGUGCCUGUUCCGACAGCCCGCCAGAGGACCCCAAACCCAAACUUCCUUGAGUGAGUCUUCUGAGUAACCGAUUAAAUCAAUCAAAACUUUCAACAACGGAUCUCUUGGUUCUGGCAUCGAUGAAGAACGCAGCGAAAUGCGAUAAGUAAUGUGAAUUGCAGAAUUCAGUGAAUCAUCGAAUCUUUGAACGCACAUUGCGCCCGCCAGUAUUCUGGCGGGCAUGCCUGUUCGAGCGUCAUUACAUCCCUCAAGCCCCCGGGCUUGGUGUUGGGGAUCGGCGAGCCUCAGCGCCCGCCGUCCCCUAAAUUUAGUGGCGGUCACGCUGUAACUUCCUCUGCGUAGUAGCACACUUAGCACUGGGAAACAGCGCGGCCACGCCGUAAAACCCCCCAACUUUUGAACGUUUGACCUCGAAUCAGGUAGGACUACCCGCUGAACUUAAGCAUAUCAAUAAGCGGAGGAAAAGAAACCAACAAGGAUUCCCCUAGUAACA
Molecule: ribosomal RNA, 521 nt
Filed under: Neonectria sp. 72 XC-2016
Lineage: Eukaryota; Fungi; Ascomycota; Sordariomycetes; Hypocreales; Nectriaceae
Description: eukaryotic LSU rRNA
Rfam family: 5.8S ribosomal RNA (bases 113-266)
Source: RNAcentral